RNAcentral lists this long non-coding RNA (235 nucleotides) under Elaeis guineensis (African oil palm). Its description in RNAcentral is "long non-coding RNA (EGUI_LNC048966)". Lineage: Eukaryota; Viridiplantae; Streptophyta; Magnoliopsida; Arecales; Arecaceae. The record is from RNAcentral.
GGCCGAGCACUUGUGAGACCUAAUGGGCAGGAAAUGAGACUUGGUGGAUCUAGAAAAGCCCCAAGGAAGAAGAAUAGGGCCAAAGGCAAGGCCCCAGUCCUUUUGAAGGCUUGGACGAAGUUGGCAGCUGGUAGUGGAGGCCUUCGGGUCUUCAUCUUCUCAGCCAAUGCCCCGAGGGAGGGGGUUCCAUUUCAGAUAGAGGAGCCGACGAGUGACCCUAGUGCCAUAGUCAAGG